Molecule: ribosomal RNA, 253 nt
Filed under: uncultured bacterium
Lineage: Bacteria
Description: partial 16S ribosomal RNA
Rfam family: Bacterial small subunit ribosomal RNA
Source: RNAcentral
UACGUAGGGUGCGAGCGUUAAUCGGAAUUACUGGGCGUAAAGCGUGCGCAGGCGGUUUUGUAAGCCAGAUGUGAAAUCCCCGGGCUCAACCUGGGAAUGGCAUUUGGGACUGCAAGGCUCGAGUGCGGCAGAGGAGACUGGAAUUCCUGGUGUAGCAGUGAAAUGCGUAGAUAUUGGGAGGAACACCAGUGGCGAAGGCGGCUACCUGGACCGGUUCUGACGCUGAGGCGCGAAAGCGUGGGUAGCAAACAGG